AAGGUCAGUUGUCUUGAGUAUUAAACUGGUAAAUUAUUUCAAAGGUUAAAUUUAAAGCAGAUGCGAUUCUUAUUCAAGUUGUAUUAGUUUUACGCUACUGGGUGAUGUGGUUGAGUGUCCUUAGCAGUCAAGUUGCAAAAAAAUCUAGUUAAUAUUAUGCACAACUUUCUUGUCAUCCAGAUGGAUUUGUGUGCUUUAAUUUAGUCUUGAUUGUAAUGGACUAUUUACAUUUUUGAUUUUAUUGUGAUCUUUUUACUUUUGAUCUGUUGCAAAACUCUAACCUUAUUCUAUAUGCGGACACAACAUAUGCCCAAUGAAUUGUUUGUAAGACCAUUAGCACAUGCACUUGUAGCUUUUGACACUUGAUUGUGAGAUUGCUUCUCUCUUGCUAGACCGUUUCAGGACAUUUGCCAUGAAGCUUCAUGACAAUGUAUUGUUGUCUUUUUCUUUGUUUGGUGCUUGCUGAUAUUGUUGUUAUUAGUGUUUCUAUUUGUGUGUAGUUCUGCUCUCUCUCUAUUUGGCUGGAGAGUGAAACCUUUCUUAGAGUGAUUGUUUCUCCAGAUGGUUAAUUUUUACUUUUUCUGGCAUUUUAUUCUUUUCUUUGUGGGGCAUGAACCAGAAAAUAUUUUUGUUUUUAUGCAACCUUGGGGAUUAUUGUUGGUGUCUUAUUGUGUUAUCCUAUUUGAUUGACAUUAUAUUCUAAAGGGCAGCACAAAGAAGCCAAAUCAGAACAGCAAGUCAGCCAUUCUUGUGGCACCUAGGCGAGAGGAUCAACUUGCUACUUUAAGUGGAAAAGAAAUAUCAGAAAUUGCAUCUGGUAUGCACUUAGUCUGACUUUUACAUUAAAUGAUAGUAUUUCAACCAAAUGGCCAAUUCUGCACGUGUUGUUUUCGUUUGUCACUUAUUUCUGGAAUGAUUUACCAUAGAAAUUUUACUUCAUUAUUAAGUGCUUUUUUUGGAGUGUUUUAUUUUCAGUGGGAGAAAAGCUGUAUUAUUGGUCACCCUUGAGGUUACAACUUUAUGUGUGUAACAAUGUAAGAAUUGGAAAAGGUUUAAAUUGUUUUAAACCCAUUUCACAUGCCACAGUAUUUAACAAUCCUUCGAACUUUGUCUACUAAUUUUUGUUUCAUUUGUCUAUGUAUUUUAUGCUUAUUUUCAAAUGUCGUGUGGUCAUGUGUUGUGUUCACAUUUGCCAUAUGCAGUCUCUAGUGUUGAAGGUUGUGAUUCAAAAAUUACUUUGACUUCAGAUUAUGGAAAGAAGAAAAUCCUGCUUCUUAAAGGGAAAGAUCGUGAAAUUUCUGAUGUUUCUGUAGGUUUGUCGCAACAGCAUGGAAACUCACCUGUUUCUACUGCCCCUAAACAAAAACAGAGGUUUAAAUCUAGUGAAAGGCUGACAAAGAGCAUCCUUUUAAAUAAUGAAGCACAUGAAACUCAAUCUUCGACUGCCAUAAAGCCUCAGCACAAAUCUCAGAAUUCAAAUUCAGAUGGCAAGUUCAAAGACAGGCAUAGUUUAGGCUAUUCUAGUGAAAAAAAGGAAAAAAUUACAAGAAGAAAUAAGGAUAGACCAGAUCGUGGUUUUCAGAAUCCUUCUUGUCAUUCUGAUGUUCCUCAUGAUAAUAAGGAGCAAUUGACAUAUACUGUGCUGCAAAAUACUGGAUUUCAUUCUGGUUUUAUUAAAGGUAGCGUUCGUUACUCUCCUCUGCUGUAUGAUAUCUUCCUCUAAUGGAUAUAAUGAUGCAAUUGUUUACUAUUCUUGAGUGGGAAAUAUGUAAACUCGCUUUAUACCUAUGAUCUUCUAGUCAUCCAUGGAGAAACAUAAAAUGGAAUGCAUAAUGUGAACUGUACUGUGGAAGCAACAGGCCAGUUAAGUGGAAGCAAUAGCUCUUAUGGUUAGGUUCUGAUCUAAAACCUAAGGGGGUACUGAAUGUGCCUAAAAUUUUUUACUUUCUGCUAAGUAAUUUGGCAGUCCAUGUUCUACAUGCAUGUUAGCUGGUUAAUGUAUUUUUAUUUAGAAGUAAUUUUUAUCAUCAGAUAUGAUUUCAACAUCAUACUUAACAUCAUCUCCACAUUUGUGUUUGGUUAGGUCCUACAUUUUAUUUCUGUAGACAGUGGCCUGGCUCCAUCUGGCCUUGUAACUUAUACCAUGCAUUGCUACACCAUUUAGUGGAAACUCUUUGAAAAUGUUAAAGUGCGUCAUGCUACUACAUUUUUUCUUUUCCCCACCCCUACCCCUCACCCCCACUUUUUUUCAUGGGGAUGAUAAUGGCAUUGCGGAGUCAUCAGUUGCUAGCAGUGUUGGUAAAUUGUUUCUUGACUACUUAGUGUUACUUAUUGCUCAUAUGGUUCUACUAAUUUCAUUUAAACUUUUAUUUAUCCAGGAUCCAACAGACAUUUACGUCACCAUGCAGCACCACAUAGAAUGAAGGGUGAUUGCUUCAUGACCUCUGAGCAGAAAUCUUCAAAAAAAAGAGGUGCUAGUGGCUAUGCUGUCCAUGAGAAGCAAAUGUGGGUUCAGAAAUCAUCCGCUGGUUCUUAGAGUAACUAAAUUGGUAAGCCUAUAGCACUCAUUCAGAAGAUACCUACGCAAUUGUAUUAAAAAAAAUGAACAGGAACUUGGAAAAAUAGUUGAGGAAGUUUAUCAAAUACAUAGAGAGCCUUAAUAAUAUGGAACUAUUCAUUUAACAUGUAAUUGAUAUGGUAUUCAUAUUGCCAAGAAAAACAUUAACAAUUGGGGUGCAAAAGAACCCCUUAUUGUGUCUUUUCUCGUGUGUUAGAAUAUCCUUGAAUUAAUGCAUGUUCAAAAAGUUAAGAAGUAAUAAGAGUUAAGCACACUUGCACAUGCUAUGUUCACUAAUGCAUAGUACAUACUUAAGAAAACAAUGCAAGGGACAAUGCUGUGAAUGUUUAAUCUGAAGCGUACCAGAAAUGAUGGGAUUCAAAAGGUAACCUGAUAGUUGGCAUAGGAAAAGGUACCCUAUUAAUGUAUUUACAUACUUUUAUGUGAUUAUGGGGAAUCCAAGCCCCUUUCCUGUGAGGCAAGGACCUUACUCUAGCUCUAGUAAACACCAGCAGCUGGAGGGGCAGUAUUGCCUAAAGCAGGCAAGGCAGGAAGGAAAGAGGCUAUGGUUACAUGUCCAGCUUUAGGUUAGACCAUCCAUGAAGAGUUUUUGUAUUGAACUGCUAUAAUGAGUGAUAAAAUGUUUAUUGACACUGCAAAAAGAAAAAGAAAUUUUAUGUAUGUGUGCAUAGGUGAUGCUUUGUACCAAGGAGAGUUCCUACUUCCUAGUGAGGAAUAGCAAGUGGGAGGUAACCAAAAUAAGCCAAUGAUGCAACAAAAGUGGUGUGAGGGGUGUUUAUAGUUUCUGUGUGAGAGAAAGAAAUGUCUGCAACCAAUGUAGUGUGAGAGGUGGCAAUUGUGUCAGGGCUGGGUUUCUGAGCCAGGUGUAGGAUUGCCACCUCUAAGUAUAAGAAGACUAGCUCUUGUAAUGUUAGUAUAAUGCUGCAAAAUUCUCUCUUAAAGUUAUAUUAUUUUAUUAAUUAUGAUACAUUAUGUUGCUGUUAUUUGAUUCUAGGCUGUGGAUGUGAAAUUCUGGUUUUCAUAUAGACCUAGUCUGGCGUCCUUGGAAGAAUUGAAACAUUUGUGGGACAUCCAAAAGAUUGAUGCCUUCUUGUAGAUCUAUUGAUCUUCUAGCUUGGAUAAAGCUAUGUCAAUGGUCUUGACAAAUGGAUUGCUAACGAAGGGCCAUAAGCUUCUAGUUGGCAGUUCAGCAAGUCAGUGAUUUCUAUUUUAUUUUUUUUUUGUUCGGCAAAUACGGGAAAAGGAAAGCCAGAAAGCCACUUGUCCUUCCCCACCAGUAAGAUUUCAGCUCUGGUAAAGAGAGCGUCAUGAUCCUAUGGUUGAUUUAUUACUAUGCUUUCUUCAGGCACUUCAGACGUGAUGUUGAUAUUGAACCUAAGCUUCUGCAUCCAAAUAGACUCCGCGACAAUUCUGUUGUUGAAGUGCACGUAUUAGCAUUUGGGUCUAGUUUCUAUCGAUGAUAGUAGCAAUGGUAAAAGUUAAUGCUGACGGACUUUUCUAUUCCAAGGCCCCACUUCGGCAAGGGCCGUAUUGCCAGAUAAUUUCACUUUUCUUCUGUAAUCUGAUUUGUGAUUGAGCGGAGCAGCUAUAGAUUGCCCCUUGUUUUGCCUUAUCGGAUUGAAGUAAGAAAUGGAUUGUUCGUAUGCUAAUCUUGAUGGAUGAAAUCAAAU
RNAcentral lists this unclassified non-coding RNA (4248 nucleotides) under Hevea brasiliensis (rubber tree). Lineage: Eukaryota; Viridiplantae; Streptophyta; Magnoliopsida; Malpighiales; Euphorbiaceae. The record is from RNAcentral.